CUGGUACUCCGUAUUUGGUAAAGUAUACUACAGUUGACUUGCAAAAAAAACAAAAACAAAGUCUUUGCAGAUUUAAAGUGAAUAACAUGUAUACUGAUACAUAUUGCGAUUUUGGACAUUUAUUUUAGCGAGAAGAUGAUGAAGUUUGAAGGUAAAAGUUUAUUGUGGAUGAUAAUGAUAAUGAUAACGAUGAUGGACCGAGGCUAAAGCAGGUUCAGUAAAGUUGUCAGCAAGCCUUAAAAAGCUUAAAUCGCUGGAUUUGAGUUCUAAUGUUUUGAACAACAGCAUCUUGCCGGAGUUAUCUGGUUUUCAAUCACUCAGACAUCUAAAUCUAAGAGCAAACAGUCUGACGGGAUCAAUUCAACUUCAUGAUAUUAAAGCCAUCAGCAAGAAUCUGGAGAAGCUGGAUUUAUGUGCCAACCAAAUUACUAGCAUCCACAAUUUUUACGGCAAGUUAUUUCUCAUCUCUUUACCAUGCAAUGCUAACAGUUAAUACAACCUCACAUAGUU
Spinacia oleracea (spinach) is the source of this 510-nucleotide long non-coding RNA. RefSeq lists it as uncharacterized. The record is from RefSeq and is a predicted model, not a curated record. The transcript is spliced from 3 exons. Lineage: Eukaryota; Viridiplantae; Streptophyta; Magnoliopsida; Caryophyllales; Amaranthaceae.